CCUACGGGAGGCAGCAGUGGGGGAUAUUGCACAAUGGGGGGAACCCUGAUGCAGCGACGCCGCGUGGGUGAAGAAGCGCCUCGGCGCGUAAAGCCCUGUCAGCAGGGAAGAAAAUGACGGUACCUGAAGAAGAAGCCCCGGCUAACUACGUGCCAGCAGCCGCGGUAAUACGUAGGGGGCAAGCGUUAUCCGGGUUUACUGGGUGUAACGGGGGCGCAGACGGCGAUGCAAGCCAGGAGUGAAAGCCCGGGGCCCAGCCCCGGGACUGCUCUUGGAACUGCGUGGCUGGAGUGCAGGAGGGGCAGGCGGAAUGCCUGGUGGAGCGGUGAAAUGCGUAGAUAUCAGGAGGAACACCGGUGGCGAAGGCGGCCUGCUGGACUGCAACUGACGCUGAGGCUCGAAAGUGUGGGGAGCAAACAGGAUUAGAUACCCCGGUAGUC
RNAcentral lists this ribosomal RNA (440 nucleotides) under uncultured bacterium. RNAcentral's name for it is "partial 16S ribosomal RNA". It matches the Rfam family "Bacterial small subunit ribosomal RNA", at positions 338 to 795 of the family's 1533-position model. The record is from RNAcentral.